Molecule: transfer RNA, 73 nt
Filed under: Scleropages formosus (Asian bonytongue)
Lineage: Eukaryota; Metazoa; Chordata; Actinopteri; Osteoglossiformes; Osteoglossidae
Rfam family: tRNA
About the family: Transfer RNA (tRNA) molecules are approximately 80 nucleotides in length. Their secondary structure includes four short double-helical elements and three loops (D, anti-codon, and T loops).
Source: Rfam by way of RNAcentral
GACCGUGUGGACUAAUGGCUAAGGCAUCUGACUUUGCAUAAGAAGAUUGCAGGUUCAGAUCCUAUCAUGGUGA